Molecule: ribosomal RNA, 790 nt
Filed under: uncultured bacterium
Lineage: Bacteria
Description: bacterial SSU rRNA
Rfam family: Bacterial small subunit ribosomal RNA
Source: RNAcentral
AGAGUUUGAUCCUGGCUCAGAUUGAACGCUGGCGGCAUGCCUUACACAUGCAAGUCGAACGGCAGCACGGGGGCAACCCUGGUGGCGAGUGGCGAACGGGUGAGUAAUACAUCGGAACGUGUCCUGUAGUGGGGGAUAGCCCGGCGAAAGCCGGAUUAAUACCGCAUACGAUCUAGGGAUGAAAGCGGGGGAUCUUCGGACCUCGCGCUGGAGGGGCGGCCGAUGGCAGAUUAGCUAGUUGGUGGGGUAAAGGCCUACCAAGGCGACGAUCUGUAGCUGGUCUGAGAGGACGACCAGCCACACUGGGACUGAGACACGGCCCAGACUCCUACGGGAGGCAGCAGUGGGGAAUUUUGGACAAUGGGGGCAACCCUGAUCCAGCAAUGCCGCGUGUGUGAAGAAGGCCUUCGGGUUGUAAAGCACUUUUGUCCGGAAAGAAAACAUCCUGGCUAAUACCUGGGGUGGAUGACGGUACCGGAAGAAUAAGCACCGGCUAACUACGUGCCAGCAGCCGCGGUAAUACGUAGGGUGCGAGCGUUAAUCGGAAUUACUGGGCGUAAAGCGUGCGCAGGCGGUUCGCUAAGACCGAUGUGAAAUCCCCGGGCUUAACCUGGGAACUGCAUUGGUGACUGGCGGCUAGAGUAUGGCAGAGGGGGGUAGAAUUCCACGUAGCAGUGAAAUGCGUAGAGAUGUGGAGGAAUACCGAUGGCGAAGGCAGCCCCCUGGGCCAAUACUGACGCUCAUGCACGAAAGCGUGGGGAGCAAACAGGAUUAGAUACCCCCGUAGUCC